This 412-nucleotide ribosomal RNA is filed under the name uncultured bacterium. Its description in RNAcentral is "partial 16S ribosomal RNA". It matches the Rfam family "Bacterial small subunit ribosomal RNA", at positions 360 to 773 of the family's 1533-position model. The record is from RNAcentral.
AAUAUGGUACAAUGGGGGAAACCCUGAUCCAGCCAUGCCGCGUGAGCGAUGAAGGNUUNNGGAUCNUNAAGCUCUGUCCUAGGNNNNNAAGGGAGCCGUCAGGCUUCUUGACGGUACCCAUGGAGGAAGCCCCGGCUAACUACGUCCCAGCAGCCGCGGUAAUACGUAGGGGGCAAGCGUUGUCCGGAAUUAUUGGGCGUAGAGGGUGCGUAGGCGGCCCUUUAAGUCAGAUGUGAAAGCCCACGGCUUAACCGUGGGACUGCAUUUGAAACUGGAGGGCUUGAGUGUCGGAGAGGGCAGUGGAAUUCCCAGUGUAGCGGUGGAAUGCGUAGAUAUUGGGAGGAACACCAGUGGCGAAGGCGACUGCCUGGACGAUAACUGACGCUGAGGCACGAAAGCUAGGGGAGCAAAC